CGUCAGAUGAACGCGGGCGGUGUGCCUAAUACAUGCAAGUCGAGCGAACAGACGAGGAGCUUGCUCCUCUGACGUAGCGGCGGACGGGUGAGUAACACGUGGAUAACCUACCUAUAAGACUGGGAUAACUUCGGGAAACCGGAGCUAAUACCGGAUAAUAUAUUGAACCGCAUGGUUCAAUAGUGAAAGACGGUUUUGCUGUCACUUAUAGAUGGAUCCGCGCCGCAUUAGCUAGUUGGUAAGGUAACGGCUUACCAAGGCAACGAUGCGUAGCCGACCUGAGAGGGUGAUCGGCCACACUGGAACUGAGACACGGUCCAGACUCCUACGGGAGGCAGCAGUAGGGAAUCUUCCGCAAUGGGCGAAAGCCUGACGGAGCAACGCCGCGUGAGUGAUGAAGGUCUUCGGAUCGUAAAACUCUGUUAUUAGGGAAGAACAAAUGUGUAAGUAACUAUGCACGUCUUGACGGUACCUAAUCAGAAAGCCACGGCUAACUACGUGCCAGCAGCCGCGGUAAUACGUAGGUGGCAAGCGUUAUCCGGAAUUAUUGGGCGUAAAGCGCGCGUAGGCGGUUUUUUAAGUCUGAUGUGAAAGCCCACGGCUCAACCGUGGAGGGUCAUUGGAAACUGGAAAACUUGAGUGCAGAAGAGGAAAGUGGAAUUCCAUGUGUAGCGGUGAAAUGCGCAGAGAUAUGGAGGAACACCAGUGGCGAAGGCGACUUUCUGGUCUGUAACUGACGCUGAUGUGCGAAAGCGUGGGGAUCAAACAGGAUUAGAUACCCUGGUAGUCCACGCCGUAAACGAUGAGUGCUAAGUGUUAGGGGGUUUCCGCCCCUUAGUGCUGCAGCUAACGCAUUAAGCACUCCGCCUGGAGACGUCCACCUGU
This 885-nucleotide ribosomal RNA is filed under the name Staphylococcus sp. M_Sw_oHS_10/11_8_1(2). Its description in RNAcentral is "bacterial SSU rRNA". It matches the Rfam family "Bacterial small subunit ribosomal RNA". The record is from RNAcentral. Lineage: Bacteria; Bacillati; Bacillota; Bacilli; Caryophanales; Staphylococcaceae.